AUGCCAAGCUCCUCGGCGUGGAACAUCAAGCUUGAUCGUACACUAGUUUCUCUUGGUUUUGAGAAACGUCCACUGGAGCAUGCUAUGUAUAAGCGAGGUAAAGGCAAAGAUCGUCUUCUAGUGGGCAUCUAUGUUGAUGAUCUCUUGAUAACUGGAGCAGAUGAGGAGGAGAUUGCUAGAUUCAAGCUACAAAUGAAGGAGCUUUUCAAGAUGAGUGAUCUAGGGCUCUUGACUUACUAUCUCGGGAUCGAGGUACAUCAAAAGCCGGAGGGAAUCACACUAUGCCAGGAGGCAUAUGCAAAGAAGAUUCUUGAAAGCUGUAGCAUGGAGGACUGCAAUCCAAGUCAUAUUCCAAUGGAGCCUCGACUUAAACUUAGCAAGAGGAGCCAAGCAUCCGCGGUUGAUGCAACGGAUUAUAGAAGUGUGGUCGGAAGCCUAAGGUAUCUUGUGAAUACACGACCGGACUUGGCCUAUUCCGUUGGUGUAGUGAGUCGCUUCAUGGAAGCACCCUCGACAGAACAUUGGGCAGCUGUGAAACAAAUACUCAGGUACAUCAAAGGGACAACUAACUUCGGUUGUGUCUAUUUGAGAGAGAAGCAGAAGGAGAUGGUGGAGCUACUUGGCUACAGUGAUAGCGACUUGGCAGGAGAUAUUGACGACCGUAAAAGUACCUCGGGCGUGACAUAUUUCUUGGGAAGAAGCAUAGUGAGUUGGGUAUCACAAAAGCAGAAGGUGGUCGCAUUAUCAUCCUGUGAAGCAGAGUAUAUUGCAGCUGCAACCGCGGCAGGUCAAGGUGUGUGGCUAGAAAGGCUACUCGGUGACCUCACUGACAAGGAACCGGAAGGAGUGGUGCUCUACGUUGACAACAAGUCCACGAUUGCCCUAUGUAAGAAUCCAGUGCAUCAUGACAGAAGUAAGCACAUUGAUAUAAGGUAUCAUUACAUACGGGAUUGCGUGGAAGAAGGCAAGAUUGAAGUCAACUACAUUUGCACCGACGAUCAGCUUGCAGACAUCCUGACCAAGUCUUUGGGGCGACAGAAGUUCACGGAGAUGCUGAGAAGGAUCGGCAUCCAAGCUGUAAAGUGA
RNAcentral lists this ribosomal RNA (1086 nucleotides) under Triticum aestivum (bread wheat). RNAcentral describes it as "partial small subunit ribosomal RNA". Lineage: Eukaryota; Viridiplantae; Streptophyta; Magnoliopsida; Poales; Poaceae. The record is from RNAcentral.